GACUACACGGGUAUCUAAGCCCGUUUGCUCCCCUGGCUUUCGCGCCUCAGCGUCAGAAAAGGACCAGCAAUUCGCUUUCGCCACAGGCGUUCCUGUCGAUAUCAACGCAUUUCACCGCUCCACCGACAGUUCCAAUUGCCCCUUCCUUCCUCGAGCCGCAGUGGUAUCGUAAGCAGUUCCCCAGUUAAGCUGGGGGAUUUCACCCACGACCCGCUCGGCCGCCUACGCGCCCUUUAAGCCCAGUGAUUCCGAAUAACGUUUGGACGGUUCGUCUUACCGCGGCUGCUGGCACGAACUUAGCCCGUCCUUGUUUCUCCGAUCGAUCAAGUUUUACCCUUUCUUUCGGACCAAAGCGGUUUACAACCCGAAGGCCUUCAUCCCGCACGCGGCGUCGCUCGGUCAAGCUUGCGCCCAUUGCCGAAGAUUCUCGACUGCAGCCCCCCGUAGG
RNAcentral lists this ribosomal RNA (448 nucleotides) under uncultured Planctomycetaceae bacterium. RNAcentral's name for it is "partial 16S ribosomal RNA". The record is from RNAcentral. Lineage: Bacteria; Pseudomonadati; Planctomycetota; Planctomycetia; Planctomycetales; Planctomycetaceae.